This 71-nucleotide unclassified non-coding RNA is filed under the name Thalassobacillus cyri. The record is from RNAcentral. Lineage: Bacteria; Bacillati; Bacillota; Bacilli; Caryophanales; Bacillaceae.
AACCGCCAUAUACGGAACCGUACGUAAGGUGGUGUGAGAGGACGGAGGUUAGUCACCUCCUACUACUCGAU